RNAcentral lists this ribosomal RNA (460 nucleotides) under uncultured bacterium. Its description in RNAcentral is "partial 16S ribosomal RNA". It matches the Rfam family "Bacterial small subunit ribosomal RNA", at positions 338 to 795 of the family's 1533-position model. The record is from RNAcentral.
CCUACGGGAGGCAGCAGUGAGGAAUAUUGGUCAAUGGGCGUAAGCCUGAACCAGCCAAGUCGCGUGAGGGAUGAAGGUUCUAUGGAUCGUAAACCUCUUUUAUAAGGGAAUAAAGUGCGGGACGUGUCCCGUUUUGUAUGUACCUUAUGAAUAAGGAUCGGCUAACUCCGUGCCAGCAGCCGCGGUAAUACGGAGGAUCCGAGCGUUAUCCGGAUUUAUUGGGUUUAAAGGGUGCGUAGGCGGCCUUUUAAGUCAGCGGUGAAAGUCUGUGGCUCAACCAUAGAAUUGCCGUUGAAACUGGGAGGCUUGAGUAUGUUUGAGGCAGGCGGAAUGCGUGGUGUAGCGGUGAAAUGCUUAGAUAUCACGCAGAACCCCGAUUGCGAAGGCAGCCUGCCAAGCCAUGACUGACGCUGAUGCACGAAAGCGUGGGGAUCAAACAGGAUUAGAUACCCCAGUAGUC